This is an RNA transcript of Rattus rattus (black rat), 1399 nucleotides long. It is a transcript of the gene named RT1 class I histocompatibility antigen, AA alpha chain-like, with no coding region annotated. The record is from RefSeq and is a predicted model, not a curated record. Lineage: Eukaryota; Metazoa; Chordata; Mammalia; Rodentia; Muridae. The transcript is spliced from 6 exons.
CGGGUCCCCGGGUCGGACACCAGACCCCCGCCCCUUCUCCACCCGCGUCCCGAGCCCCGCGCCCCGCUCCCCGCCCGGCCCGCGCACCCGCCCGGGGUCCCGGGAGGAGGUCCGGGUCUCACUGCGCGCCGCCCCCAGGCUCACACUCGCUGCGGUAUUUCAAAACCGCCGUGUCCCGGCCCGGCCUCGGGGAGCCCCGGUUCAUGGAAGUCGGCUACGUGGACGACACGGAGUUCGUGCGCUUCGACAGCGACGCGGAGAAUCCGAGAUACGAGCCGCGGGCCCGGUGGAUGGAGCAGCAGGGGCCGGAGUAUUGGGAGCGGGAGACGCAGGGAGCCAAGGAAAAGGAGCAGACUUUCCGAGUGAACCUGAGGACCCUGCUUGGCUACUACAACCAGAGCGAGGGCGACUCUCACACACUCCAGUUGAUGUUUGGCUGUGACGUGGGGUCGGACGGGAGCCUCCUCCGCGGGUAUGAUCAGUUCGCCUACGACGGCCGCGAUUACAUCGCCCUGAACGAAGACCUGAAAACGUGGGCGGCGGCGGACAUGGUGGCGCAGAUGACCCGAAACAAGUGGGAGCGGGCUCGUUAUGCAGAGAAACGCAGGGCCAAUCUGGAAGGAGAGUGUGUGGAGUCGCUCCGCAGAUACCUGGAACUCGGGAAGGAGACGCUGCUGAGCUCAGAUCCCCCAAAGGCACAUGUGACCCUUCACCCCAGACCUGAAGGUGAUGUCACCCUGAGGUGCUGGGCCCUGGGCUUUUACCCUGCUGACAUCACCCUGACCUGGCAGUUGAAUGGGGAGGAUCUGAGCCAGGACAUGGAACUUGUGGAGACCAGGCCUGCAGGGGAUGGAACCUUCCAGAAGUGGGCAGCUGUGGUGGUGCCUCUUGGGAAGGAGCAGAAUUACACAUGCCAUGUGGAGCAUGAGGGACUGCCUGAGCCUCUCACCCUGAGAUGGGCUUUUCUUCUCACAGGUGGAAUAUGAGGAGACUACACCCCUGCUCCAGGCAGGGACAGCUCCCAGAGCUCUGAUGUGUCCCUCCCAGAUUGUAAAGCAUGAAGACAGCUGCCUGGAGUGGACUGAGUGACAGACGAUGUGUUCAGGUCUCUCCUGUGACAUCCAGAGUCCUCAGUUCUCUUUAGACACCAGUGUCUGAUGUUCCCUGUGAUUCUAUGGCUUCAGUGUGAAGAACUGUGGAGCCCAGCCUGCCCUGCACACCAGGACCCUGUCCCUGCACUGCCUUCCUUCCCUUCCAAGGCCAACCUUAGUGGUCCAUCCUGGGGCAGGGGGGUGGGGACAUCUGCAUCCUGUCACUCCGUGCUACCCUGAGCAUUAUCUCCUCACUUCCACACUGAGAAUAAGAAUCUGAGUGUGAACUUGAUUGUUCACAUCCUUGA